UACGUAUGUGGCGAGCGUUGUCCGGAUUUACUGGGCGUAAAGGGAGCGCAGGUGGUUUAUUAAGUCUGGUGUAAAAGGCAGUGGCUCAACCAUUGUAUGCAUUGGAAACUGGUAGACUUGAGUGCAGGAGAGGAGAGUGGAAUUCCAUGUGUAGCGGUGAAAUGCGUAGAUAUAUGGAGGAACACCGGUGGCGAAAGCGGCUCUCUGGCCUGUAACUGACACUGAGGCUCGAAAGCGUGGGGAGCAAACAGG
RNAcentral lists this ribosomal RNA (252 nucleotides) under uncultured bacterium. Its description in RNAcentral is "partial 16S ribosomal RNA". It matches the Rfam family "Bacterial small subunit ribosomal RNA", at positions 524 to 776 of the family's 1533-position model. The record is from RNAcentral.